CAGAUGGGAGCUUGCUCCCUGAUGUUAGCGGCGGACGGGUGAGUAACACGUGGGUAACCUGCCUGUAAGACUGGGAUAACUCCGGGAAACCGGGGCUAAUACCGGAUGGUUGUYUGAACCGCAUGGUUCAGACAUAAAAGGUGGCUUCGGCUACCACUUACAGAUGGACCCGCGGCGCAUUAGCUAGUUGGUGAGGUAACGGCUCACCAAGGCGACGAUGCGUAGCCGACCUGAGAGGGUGAUCGGCCAMACUGGGACUGAGACACGGCCCAGACUCCUACGGGAGGCAGCAGUAGGGAAUCUUCCGCAAUGGACGAAAGUCUGACGGAGCAACGCCGCGUGAGUGAUGAAGGUUUUCGGAUCGUAAAGCUCUGUUGUUAGGGAAGAACAAGUGCCGUUCAAAUAGGGCGGCACCUUGACGGUACCUAACCAGAAAGCCACGGCUAACUACRUGCCAGCAGCCGCGGUAAUACGUAGGUGGCAAGCGUUGUCCGGAAUUAUUGGGCGUAAAGGGCUCGCAGGCGGUUUCUUAAGUCUGAUGUGAAAGCCCCCGGCUCAACCGGGGAGGGUCAUUGGAAACUGGGGAACUUGAGUGCAGAAGAGGAGAGUGGAAUUCCACGUGUAGCGGUGAAAUGCGUAGAGAUGUGGAGGAACACCAGUGGCGAAGGCGACUCUCUGGUCUGUAACUGACGCUGAGGAGCGAAAGCGUGGGGAGCGAACAGGAUUAGAUACSCUGGUAGUCCACGCCGUAAACGAUGAGUGCUAA
This 766-nucleotide ribosomal RNA is filed under the name Bacillus sp. R13A. RNAcentral describes it as "bacterial SSU rRNA". It matches the Rfam family "Bacterial small subunit ribosomal RNA", at positions 69 to 819 of the family's 1533-position model. The record is from RNAcentral. Lineage: Bacteria; Bacillati; Bacillota; Bacilli; Caryophanales; Bacillaceae.